Molecule: ribosomal RNA, 458 nt
Filed under: uncultured bacterium
Lineage: Bacteria
Description: bacterial SSU rRNA
Rfam family: Bacterial small subunit ribosomal RNA
Source: RNAcentral
GUGAACGCUGGCGGCGUGCCUAACACAUGCAAGUCGAACGAUGAUAGAGAGCUUGCUCUCUUGAUUAGUGGCGCACGGGUGAGUAUACCAUCGAUAAUGUACCUCUUAGUUCAGGAUAGCCACUGGAAACGGUGAUUAAUACCGGAUACUCCUUCUUACUCUAAGGUAAGUCGGGAAAGUUUUUUCGCUAAGAGAUCAGUCUAUGUCCUAUCAGCUAGUUGGUGAGGUAAUGGCUCACCAAGCCUAUGACGGAUAUCUGGUUUGAGAGGAUGAUCAGACACACUGGAACUGAGACACGGUCCAGACUCCUACGGGAGGCAGCAGUGAGGAAUAUUGCACAAUGGAGGAAACUCUGAUGCAGCAACGCCGCGUGGAGGAUGACGCAUUUCGGUGUGUAAACUCCUUUUAUUAGGGAAGAUAAUGACGGUACCUAAUGAAUAAGCACCGGCUAACUCCGU